GGAAAGAUCAUGUGGUGAUUUGU
This 23-nucleotide non-coding RNA is filed under the name Arabidopsis thaliana (thale cress). Lineage: Eukaryota; Viridiplantae; Streptophyta; Magnoliopsida; Brassicales; Brassicaceae. The record is from RNAcentral.